UACGCCUAUAUCAUGUUGAAACACCGAUUCUCGUACGAUCACCGAAGUUAAGCAACAUUGAGCCUGUUGAAUAACUAGAUGAGUGACCACUUGGGAAUACCAGAUUCUGUA
Molecule: non-coding RNA, 111 nt
Organism: Acanthosepion pharaonis
Lineage: Eukaryota; Metazoa; Mollusca; Cephalopoda; Sepiida; Sepiidae
Source: the annotation of a GenBank genome assembly